AUAGAGCGAGGACGCUAACAGGAACAAUGACUCAGGAUGAGGGUCAGGAGCGCCAGGAGGCGAAGACAGAGGAUUGUCAGGAAGAUAAACGUCCGGAGACGUAAUUAAAUGGAAAUGGAAUCAACACGGAUUGUUCCGGCUAAUGGAAAAACAGGGUGUGUUGGCGGCCUGCAAGGAUUGUAAGACCCGUUAAGGGUUAUGAGUCAGGAAAAAAAAAAAAAAAGAAAAGAAGAGAGCGUCUUUUUUUUUUUUUUUUUUUUUUUUUUU
This 267-nucleotide small RNA is filed under the name Escherichia coli MS 57-2. The record is from RNAcentral. Lineage: Bacteria; Pseudomonadati; Pseudomonadota; Gammaproteobacteria; Enterobacterales; Enterobacteriaceae.